GACGAACGCUGGCGGCGUGCUUAACACAUGCAAGUCGAACGGAAAGGCCCUGCUUUUGUGGGGUGCUCGAGUGGCGAACGGGUGAGUAACCCGUGAGUAACCUGCCCUUGACUUUGGGAUAACUUCAGGAAACUGGGGCUAAUACCGGCUAGGAGCUCCUGCUGCAUGGUGGGGGUUGGAAAGUUUCGGCGGUUGGGGAUGGACUCGCGGCUUAUCAGCUUGUUGGUGGGGUAGUGGCUUACCAAGGCUUUGACGGGUAGCCGGCCUGAGAGGGUGACCGGCCACAUUGGGACUGAGAUACGGCCCAGACUCCUACGGGAGGCAGCAGUGGGGAAUAUUGCACAAUGGGCGGAAGCCUGAUGCAGCAACGCCGCGUGCGGGAUGACGGCCUUCGUGUUGUAAACCGCUUUCGCCUGUGACGAAGCGUGAGUGACGGUAAUGGGUAAAGAAGCACCGGCUAACUACGUG
This 468-nucleotide ribosomal RNA is filed under the name uncultured bacterium. RNAcentral describes it as "partial 16S ribosomal RNA". It matches the Rfam family "Bacterial small subunit ribosomal RNA", at positions 28 to 507 of the family's 1533-position model. The record is from RNAcentral.